UUGAUAGUACCUUACUACUUGGAUAACCGUGGUAAUUCUAGAGCUAAUACAUGCUAAAAACCCCAACUUCGGGAGGGGUGUAUUUAUUAGAUAAAAAACCAAUGCCCUUCGGGGCUCCCUUGGUGAUUCAUGAUAACUUCUCAGAUCGCAUGGCUUUACGCCGGCGACGGUUCAUUCAAAUUUCUGCCCUAUCAACUUUCGAUGGUAAGGUAGUGGCUUACCAUGGUUUCAACGGGUAACGGGGAAUUAGGGUUCGAUUCCGGAGAGGGAGCCUGAGAAACGGCUACCACAUCCAAGGAAGGCAGCAGGCGCGCAAAUUACCCAAUUCCGAUACGGAGAGGUAGUGACAAUAAAUACUGAUACAGGGCUCUUUUGGGUCUUGUAAUUGGAAUGAGUACAAUUUAAACCUCUUAACGAGGAACAAUUGGAGGGCAAGUCUGGUGCCAGCAGCCGCGGUAAUUCCAGCUCCAAUAGCGUAUAUUAAAGUUGUUGCAGUUAAAAAGCUCGUAGUUGAACCUUUGGCCUGGCUGGCAGGUCCGCCUCACCGCGUGCACUUGUCCGGCCGGGCCUUUUCUUCUGGAGAACCGCAUGCCCUUCACUGGGUGUGUUGGGGACCAGGACUUUUACUUUGAAAAAAUUAGAGUGUUCAAAGCAGGCCUUUGCUCGAAUACGUUAGCAUGGAAUAAUAGAAUAGGACGUGCGGUCCUAUUUUGUUGGUUUCUAGGACCGCCGUAAUGAUUAAUAGGGACAGUCGGGGGCAUCAGUAUUCAAUUGUCAGAGGUGAAAUUCUUGGAUUUAUUGAAGACUAACUACUGCGAAAGCAUUUGCCAAGGAUGUUUUCAUUAAUCAGUGAACGAAAGUUAGGGGAUCGAAGACGAUCAGAUACCGUCGUAGUCUUAACCAUAAACUAUGCCGACUAGGGAUCGG
Molecule: ribosomal RNA, 927 nt
Filed under: Pseudopithomyces sp. DNW-2018b
Lineage: Eukaryota; Fungi; Ascomycota; Dothideomycetes; Pleosporales; Didymosphaeriaceae
Description: SSU rRNA
Rfam family: Eukaryotic small subunit ribosomal RNA
Source: RNAcentral